This 468-nucleotide ribosomal RNA is filed under the name uncultured bacterium. RNAcentral's name for it is "partial 16S ribosomal RNA". It matches the Rfam family "Bacterial small subunit ribosomal RNA", at positions 28 to 507 of the family's 1533-position model. The record is from RNAcentral.
GACGAACGCUGGCGGCGUGCCUAACACAUGCAAGUCGAACGGAAAGGCCCUGCUCUUGUGGGGUUCUCGAGUGGCGAACGGGGGAGUAACACGUGAGUAUCCUGCCCUUGACUGUGGGGUAACUUCAGGAAACAGGGGCUAAUAUCGGAUAGGAUCUCCUGCUGCACGGUGGGGGUUGGAGAGUUUCGGCGGUUGGGUCUGGACUCGCUGCAUAUGAGCUUGUUUGUCGGGUAGUGGCGUACCAAGGCUUUGACGGGUAGCCGGCCUGAGAGGGUGGCCGGCCACCUUGGGCCUGCGGUACGGCCCAGACUCCUACGGGCGGCAGCAGUGGGGAAUAUUGCACAGUGGGCGGAAGCCUGAUGUAGCAACGCCGCGUGCGGGAUGACGGCCUUCGGGUUGUAAACCGCUUUCGACUGUGACGAAGCGUGAGUGACGGUAAUGGGUAAAGAAGCACCGGCUAACUACGUG